UCCCUCUUUUUCAACUUGGGGAGUUCCAGGCAUAAAGAAUGGGUAAAGCUUGUUCAUCUGAGAUAUUGCUCAAACUCUGUUCACGGAAAACUACCCUGUUAAAGGAAUGCAUGUGCCCAUAGGACUUGGGUUUUAAGUCCCUUUGGAUUCUCAAGACUAUGAGGACUAAUAGCACAUAACCUCCACCUUUGUUUCUUGGACUCCUUCAUCUUGUUUCUUCUUAUAUCACUUUGUGGAAGCCUACUCUGCAGGAGGAAACCAGGGACAUACCUUUCUUAAACACAUAAUAGCCAAGAAAUGUGCUAUUCACAUGACACCUUGAAGUUCAAUGACGAUGGCAGUGUGGCUGAGAUAUGAAGCUGGGUCACAUCCCUCAAAGCUGGAGGCAAGGAAGUGGAUUACUCUGCUCUUCAAAUGCUUUCCUUGGGCCAAGAACAACACAAUCAGUACUGGAAGGUUGACCCAGGAGGCAACAUCACUUUGUGGGGAAAUUCCUGAAUAAGGAAUAUUAAGACCAAUGUGUUUCCUACCAGUUCUACAACUGAUUUGCUGAUUGACCUGGGCAAGUUACUUGACCCUUAAGCCCCAGGAUCCUUGGUUGUAUGAAAUGAUAUUCGCUUCUCAGAUAACACUCAAGACUGUC
Molecule: long non-coding RNA, 643 nt
Organism: Vicugna pacos (alpaca)
Lineage: Eukaryota; Metazoa; Chordata; Mammalia; Artiodactyla; Camelidae
Source: RefSeq, a predicted model, not a curated record